Molecule: ribosomal RNA, 497 nt
Filed under: uncultured bacterium
Lineage: Bacteria
Description: partial 16S ribosomal RNA
Rfam family: Bacterial small subunit ribosomal RNA
Source: RNAcentral
GAUGAACGCUGGCGGCGUGCCUAAUACAUGCAAGUCGAGCGAACAGACGAGGAGCUUGCUUCUUUGACGUUAGCGGCGGACGGGUGAGUAACACGUAGGUAACCUACCUAUAAGACUGGGAUAACUUCGGGAAACCGGAGCUAAUACCGGAUAAUAUUUCGAACCGCAUGGUUCGAUAGUGAAAGAUGGCUUUGCUAUCACUUAUAGAUGGACCUGCGCCGUAUUAGCUAGUUGGUAAGGUAACGGCUUACCAAGGCAACGAUACGUAGCCGACCUGAGAGGGUGAUCGGCCACACUGGAACUGAGACACGGUCCAGACUCCUACGGGAGGCAGCAGUAGGGAAUCUUCCGCAAAGGGCGAAAGCCUGACGGAGCAACGCCGCGUGAGUGAUGAAGGUCUUCGGAUCGUAAAACUCUGUUAUUAGGGAAGAACAAACGUGUAAGUAACUAUGCACGUCUUGACGGUACCUAAUCAGAAAGCCACGGCUAACUACGUG